Molecule: ribosomal RNA, 370 nt
Filed under: uncultured soil bacterium
Lineage: Bacteria
Description: bacterial SSU rRNA
Rfam family: Bacterial small subunit ribosomal RNA
Source: RNAcentral
AGAGUGAACGCUGGUGGUAGGCCUAACACAUGCAAGUCGAACGGCAGCACGGUAAGAGCUUGCUCUUAUGGGUGGCGAGUGGCGGACGGGUGAGGAAUACAUCGGAAUCUACCUUUUGGUGGGGGAUAACGUAGGGAAACUUACGCUAAUACCGCAUACGCCCUUCGGGGGAAAGCCGGGGACCAGCAAUGGCCUGGCGCUGAUAGAUGAGCCGAUGUCGGAUUAGCUAGUUGGUGAGGUAAUGGCUCACCAAGGCGACGAUCCGUAGCUGGUCUGAGAGGAUGAUCAGCCACACUGGAACUGAGACACGGUCCAGACUCCGUACGGGAGCAGCAGGUGGGGAAUAUUGGACAAGUGGGGCGACAAGCCU